Molecule: ribosomal RNA, 437 nt
Filed under: bacterium 3AR6
Lineage: Bacteria
Description: bacterial SSU rRNA
Rfam family: Bacterial small subunit ribosomal RNA
Source: RNAcentral
CGNANUGGCGGCAGCCUACACAUGCAAGUCGGACGGUAGCACAGAAAAGCUUGCUCUUCGGGUGACGAGUGGCGGACGGGUGAGUAAUGUCUGGGAAACUGCCUGAUGGAGGGGGAUAACUACUGGAAACGGUAGCUAAUACCGCAUAACCUCGCAAGAGCAAAGUGGGGGACCUUCGGGCCUCACGCCAUCGGAUGUGCCCAGAUGGGAUUAGCUAGUAGGUGGGGUAACGGCUCACCUAGGCGACGAUCCCUAGCUGGUCUGAGAGGAUGACCAGCCACACUGGAACUGAGACACGGUCCAGACUCCUACGGGAGGCAGCAGUGGGGAAUAUUGCACAAUGGGCGCAAGCCUGAUGCAGCCAUGCCGCGUGUAUGAAGAAGGCCUUCGGGUUGUAACGUACUUUCAUCGGGGAGGAAGGCGGUUUUUUUCCCGUC